CAAUAAGCUUCCAAGGCCAUCCUGCAGAAAAAUUAAAUACAUUAGUUCCAGCCAUUUUUCAACGCAUGGCAACUUAUAAUAUCAUUAAAAAAAAAUUUUUUACUCUUAAAAUUGACAGGUAUCUUUGUAUCUAUCAGACUAUGACAAUAAAAGAGAAUCUAGCAUUUUCAUUAAUCUGGAACUUAAAAUUCCACAUGUACCAGUAUCACUGAAUGCAACAAUAGUUACAGGGAAAAUAAG
This 240-nucleotide unclassified non-coding RNA is filed under the name Hevea brasiliensis (rubber tree). The record is from RNAcentral. Lineage: Eukaryota; Viridiplantae; Streptophyta; Magnoliopsida; Malpighiales; Euphorbiaceae.